UACGUAGGGGGCAAGCGUUGUCCGGAUUUAUUGGGCGUAAAGAGCGUGUAGGCGGUUUGGUAGGUCCGCUGUGAAAACUCGAGGCUCAACCUCGAGACGCCGGUGGAAACCAUCAGGCUAGAGUCCGGAAGAGGAGAGUGGAAUUCCUGGUGUAGCGGUGGAAUGCGCAGAUAUCAGGAAGAACACCCGUGGCGAAGGCGGCUCUCUGGGACGGUACUGACGCUGAGACGCGAAAGCGUGGGGAGCGAACAGG
This 253-nucleotide ribosomal RNA is filed under the name uncultured bacterium. Its description in RNAcentral is "partial 16S ribosomal RNA". It matches the Rfam family "Bacterial small subunit ribosomal RNA", at positions 524 to 776 of the family's 1533-position model. The record is from RNAcentral.